GAGUUUGAUCCUGGCUCAGAGUGAACGCUGGCGGCAGGCCUAAUACAUGCAAGUCGAACGGCAGCACAGCAGAGCUUGCUCUGUGGGUGGCGAGUGGCGGACGGGUGAGGAAUACGUGGGAAUCUGCCCAGUCGUGGGGGAUAACGUAGGGAAACUUACGCUAAUACCGCAUGCGCCCUUCGGGGGGAAAGCCGGGGGAACCUUCGGGCCUGGCGCGAUUGGAUGUGCCCACGUCGGAUUAGCUAGUUGGCGGGGUAAAGGCCCACCAAGGCGACGAUCCGUAGCUGGUCUGAGAGGAUGAUCAGCCACACUGGAACUGAGACACGGUCCAGACUCCUACGGGAGGCAGCAGUAGGGAAUAUUGGACAAUGGGCGCAAGCCUGAUCCAGCCAUGCCGCGUGAGUGAAGAAGGCCCUCGGGUUGUAAAGCUCUUUUGUCCGGAAAGAAAAGCGCCGGGUUAAUACCCUGGUGUCCUGACGGUACCGGAAGAAUAAGCACCGGCUAACUUCGUG
This 512-nucleotide ribosomal RNA is filed under the name uncultured bacterium. Its description in RNAcentral is "bacterial SSU rRNA". It matches the Rfam family "Bacterial small subunit ribosomal RNA", at positions 9 to 507 of the family's 1533-position model. The record is from RNAcentral.